Brienomyrus brachyistius is the source of this 759-nucleotide long non-coding RNA. RefSeq lists it as uncharacterized. Lineage: Eukaryota; Metazoa; Chordata; Actinopteri; Osteoglossiformes; Mormyridae. The record is from RefSeq and is a predicted model, not a curated record. The transcript is spliced from 3 exons.
UACAUUGUUACAUUGAAUCUAAUUCCUCGCUGUAACGUCAACACUUAAUUAGUGGGAGGCCAGACAAUAUUUGCUAAAUUCAUUGGUUAUGACAACCAAGUAAUUAUAUUUCUUUUAUAAAGCUAAAUAAAACUCACUACUAGCAGGCAGCAGUAAAGAUGUAUGGAAAUCAACCUCAGAUUUAUGUGAAGACGAGAGAAUAAAAUAAAAUACACAAAUAAACACACACAACAGAGUUAAUCACCCUUGCUCCUCCACAAACACAUUUUGUUCAACAGCAGUGUGAGCAGUAUCAACAGCUGUCAUUAGAAAAUAAAAUCGGCUUUAUUUAAUUUUGGAGAUGAGCAAAGCUUCCACCCUCCGUAUAAGGCGGGUAGGAAAUUCGUGAACUUCCGGAAUAUCCUCGGAAGUUGUCGGGCUGAGUGACAACUUUGAAAAGAACCGCGUACAAUUCUGGCAGGAGGGGACCGAGACUUCAGGGCUUGGAAAGGAGACAAAAGUAAUGGAUUUAAUGACCGAAGAGACCAGAGAUGCAUAUAAGACAAUAGCAGAAUUACUAGAGCAACUCGCACAAGAAGCAAGCAGACUUGAAGAACAUCAGAAGAAGCUGACCGAGCACAAUCAAGCCCUCGGCGAUCUUAACAAGGCCUUUAAUGAGAGCCAGUCCAGACUGAAGCGCCUGGCGAUGAUUAAGUGUGGCAGCCAUCUACUGAACCUUUAAAUGUCUUUGCUCACACAAAUAAAGCUCAUUUGCUUCCA